Molecule: ribosomal RNA, 540 nt
Filed under: uncultured bacterium
Lineage: Bacteria
Description: bacterial SSU rRNA
Rfam family: Bacterial small subunit ribosomal RNA
Source: RNAcentral
UGAGGAAUAUUGGUCAAUGGGCGAGAGCCUGAACCAGCCAAGUCGCGUGAAGGAUGACUGUCUUAUGGAUUGUAAACUUCUUUUAUACGGGAAUAACAAGAGUCACGUGUGACUCCCUGCAUGUACCGUAUGAAUAAGCAUCGGCUAACUCCGUGCCAGCAGCCGCGGUAAUACGGAGGAUGCGAGCGUUAUCCGGAUUUAUUGGGUUUAAAGGGUGCGUAGGCGGUUUGUUAAGUCAGCGGUGAAAUCUAGAGGCUCAACCUCGAAACUGCCGUUGAAACUGGCGAACUUGAGUGUAGAUGAGGUAGGCGGAAUUCGUGGUGUAGCGGUGAAAUGCAUAGAUAUCACGAGGAACUCCAAUUGCGAAGGCAGCUUACUAAGGUACAACUGACGCUGAAGCACGAAAGCGUGGGUAUCAAACAGGAUUAGAUACCCUGGUAGUCCACGCAGUAAACGAUGAUAACUGGGCGUAUGCGAUAUACAGUAUGCUCCUAANCGAAAGCGUUAAGUUAUCCACCUGGGGAGUACGCCGGCAACGGU